Triticum urartu is the source of this 1181-nucleotide non-coding RNA. NCBI's taxonomy places the organism in Eukaryota, Viridiplantae, Streptophyta, Magnoliopsida, Poales, Poaceae. The record is from RefSeq and is a predicted model, not a curated record.
CCCCCCCCCCACGUGUCACCACUGCCGCACAGAGCCACCGCUCCGCACGUCCAGCCACCGACCCCCGGACCUGUAGCCACCGGAUCCGGUGGUGCCUCCUCCCACCACCGCCCUGCGGCCACCGGAUCCGGCGGGAUCCUCCUCCACCUCCCUCCUCCCACCCCCGUCCGGCCACCUACCCGGAUGCGACCUCCUGAGCCGGCCACCUCCCUCCUCCCAGGUGCCCAGCGCAACUGCCGGCGUUGAUCCGGGCAUACCGCCCCCGCCGUGGCUUUCCCAUCUUCAGGCUCCUCCCGCGGCCACCGGAUCCGGCGGGAUCCUCCUCCACCUACCUCCUCCCACCCCACAUCGGCCCAUCCUUGUUGAGCCCCCGCGCCGGUUCCCGUGGAGGCCCGGCCGGAUCUCCUCCAUCGCGUCCCUCCCCUCAUCAUCACCGGAUCCCUGCAUCUCUCCUUCCACCAGUGAGGGUUGCGGCGAGGAGUAACCUCCUCGGCUCCUACGCAUCCGUCCUUGCGCUGCCCGAGAUCCACGUCUACGGCAACCGGAUCCACCUACCCCACGGCACGGGUGCUCCUUGCUCCGCCGCUGAAGUUCGCUGUCAAAUGAAAAAUUGACCAAAUUUCCUGGCGCGGCGUCGAGCAGUUGGUAGGGCGCGGCGUGCAGUUUCCAUGCGUGGAUAGGAAAUUCCUGAGGCUGCUGCGAUCCAUUUCUUCCCUAGUGCACUGCAGAUAACUCUGAAGCAAUGUGGUUCAAUUUCUAAAAAAAUACACAAGAAAUCCACUUAUUUUCCCCUGUAGUGCACUUUUUUUCUUGCUAUGUUUCACUUGAACGGUGUGCAACGGUGGUUUACUUCUGUUCUGUGUUGCAGGGAUUUUUUUUCACUUGUGUGGGAAAAAAGAAGGAAAAUUAAACACCACUCGCCGACAAAGAUAACGACCCCGAGCAUCAUGCGCGUGCAGUUCCUUUUGUGUAUGCUUGCAAUGCAUUGUGUGUAUGUGUGUAGUGCACCCCAUCACUUCAUGUUUUUUGAGAAAACAAUUUGUAUUGUCAUACGUGGCAGUUUCACUUGUGUAUAUGCUUGCAAUGCGGUUGUCUGUAUGCGUGCAGUGCACUCCUGUGGUUUCCUUUGUAAAAUGGCAAUUAAAAAACAUCACAAAGAAGUCCAUUCCCUUUUAGAUGUA